Molecule: long non-coding RNA, 236 nt
Filed under: Panax ginseng (ginseng)
Lineage: Eukaryota; Viridiplantae; Streptophyta; Magnoliopsida; Apiales; Araliaceae
Description: long non-coding RNA (PGIN_LNC017248)
Source: RNAcentral
UUUGGCCCAGCGGUAUGACUCGCCUUAUGGUUUCCAUGAGGUCGAGGGUUCGAUCUUGGUGGCAGCAAGGAGGGUGUGUGUGUGUGUCAAUGUAGCAAAAAAAAAAAAAAAUUAGCUAUCUGCAUAUGCAUUAGUUGGUGAUGAAUAUUGUUAUUGCAGCAAUUGGAAUCUUGAAGGGUUAAUGUUGUACUUUCCUUUAUCAUAUGUUUGCUUAGUUACUUUGUGAUCUUAUAGUG